UGACCAAAUCACGCCAGGCGUGGUCUUGGGGCUGGCAGCUCUGCCGCCCUCAAACGUAGUGGCAGCGCCGGGUGGCUCUUAGCGUAGUAAUACUCCUCGCUAUAGGGUCCGUCGGUCGCCCGCCAGCAACCCCCAAUCUUUCUA
RNAcentral lists this unclassified non-coding RNA (144 nucleotides) under Ascocoryne cylichnium. RNAcentral describes it as "partial internal transcribed spacer 2". Lineage: Eukaryota; Fungi; Ascomycota; Leotiomycetes; Helotiales; Gelatinodiscaceae. The record is from RNAcentral.